UCACUUCACAUUAAUCGUCGUUUGCUUAUAUGGAACUCGCCGGUUUCGGCCGGCUAUGGCGAUAAACUGCGGUGUGCAAUAGGCACAGCGGACCCGGGGGCAGUACCCGGCGGCUCCACCAUAAAGCCCUGUUUCGGCAGGGUUUCCUGACGGGGCCGAACCAGGAUCGACGUGUGUUGAAAAGCACUGUUUUCGCCCGGGCUGAGUAACCCGUUAAAGGCUCAAAACACACAAGUGCCAACGACAACGAAGCACUUGCUCUCGCUGCGUAAUUCUAGGGCCUAGCGGCCUGACCUUACAAAGCUUUGAGCACGGUUCGGACCGAACCGGGUAACAGAAUCGGAAACC
Molecule: transfer-messenger RNA, 348 nt
Filed under: Croceibacterium salegens
Lineage: Bacteria; Pseudomonadati; Pseudomonadota; Alphaproteobacteria; Sphingomonadales; Erythrobacteraceae
Description: Alphaproteobacteria transfer-messenger RNA
Rfam family: Alphaproteobacteria transfer-messenger RNA
About the family: Bacterial tmRNA, also known as 10Sa RNA or SsrA, is named for its dual tRNA and mRNA-like properties.
Source: Rfam by way of RNAcentral